Molecule: ribosomal RNA, 371 nt
Filed under: uncultured organism
Description: bacterial SSU rRNA
Rfam family: Bacterial small subunit ribosomal RNA
Source: RNAcentral
GAGGGGUCCAAGCGUUGUUCGGAAUUAUUGGGCGUAAAGCGGGUGUAGGUGGCUCUAUAAGUCAGGAGUGAAAUCCCCGAGCUUAACUCGGGAAGUGCUUUUGAUACUGCAGAGCUUGAAUGUGGGAGAGGAUAAUAGAAUUCCAGGUGUAGUGGUGAAAUACGUAGAUAUCUGGAGGAAUACCGGUGGCGAAGGCGGUUAUCUGGCCCAACAUUGACACUGAGACCCGAAAGCGUGGGGAUCAAACAGGAUUAGAUACCCUGGUAGUCCACGCCGUAAACGAUGGAUACUUGUUGUUGGAGGUAUUGACCCCUUCAGUGACGAAGCUAACGCGUUAAGUAUCCCGCCUGGGGAGUACGGCCGCAAGGUUA